AGAGUUUGAUCCUGGCUCAGAACGAACGCUGGCGGCAUGGCUAAGACAUGCAAGUCGUACGGAGUGGAAUGAGCUUGCUCGAUCCACUCAGUGGCGGACGGGAGAGUAAUGCAUGGGUAACGUACCCUGGACACGGGAAUAACCACGGGGCUUCGGCCUCUUUAGCGAAAGUGUGGCUAAUACCCGAUGAUGUCGCCUGAUCGCAUGGUCAGGCGCCCAAAGGUGGGGACCUUCGGGCCUGCCAGUCUGGGAUCGGCCCAUGUCUUAUCAGCUUGUUGGUAGGGUAAUGGCCUACCAAGGCUACGACGGGUAGCGGGCGUGAGAGCGUGACCCGCCUCAUCGGGACUGAGACACUGCCCGGACACCUACGGGUGGCUGCAGUAACGAAUAUUGGGCAAUGGGCGCAAGCCUGACCCAGCAAUGCCGCGUGCAGGAGGAAGCCUUUCGGGGUGUAAACUGCUGUCAGGGUUUAGCAAGCAAUGUAGGUUAAUAGCCUGCGGCGCUGAGCAGACCCAAAGGAAGCCUCGGCUAACUCUGUGCCAGCAGCCGCGGUAAGACAGAGGAGGCAAGCGUUGUUCGGAAUCACUGGGCUUAAAGCGGGUGUAGGCGGCUUGGUGAGUGUCCUGUGAAAGCCCACGGCUCAACCGUGGAAUUGCAGGGCAUACUGCCUGGCUUGAGGUUGGUAGAGGUGCCUGGAACUCUAGGUGGAGCGGUGAAAUGCGUAGAUAUCUAGAGGAACGCCAGAAGCGAAAGCGGGGCACUGGGCCAAUCCUGACGCUGAGACCCGAAAGCGUGGGGAGCAAACAGGAUUAGAUACCCUGGUAGUCCACGCCGUAAACGAUGCACACUAGGUGUCGGAGGCUCUGAUGCCCUCGGCGCCGAAGGAAAACUAAUAAGUGUGCCGCCUGGGGAGUACGGCCGCAAGGCUAAAACUCAAAGGAAUUGACGGGGGCUCACACAAGCGGUGGAGCAUGUGGCUUAAUUCGAAGCAACGCGAAGAACCUUACCCAGGUUUGACAUGCUUGGAUGCUCUCCGGGGAUAACCCGGGGUAGCUGCCCUUCGGGGUGAAACUUGCACAGGUGUUGCACGGCUGUCGUCAGCUCGUGCUGUGAAGUGUCGGGUUAAGUCCCUUAACGAGCGAAACCCCUAUCGUUUUUGCCAGCGGGUCAUGCCGGGGACUCUAGCGAGACUGCCGGCGUUAAGCCGGAGGAAGGUGGGGACGACGUCAAGUCAUCGUGGCCUUUAUGCCUGGGGAUGCACACGUGCUACAAUGGCCGCUACAGAGGGAAGCGAUACCGCGAGGUGGAGCAAAUCCCAAAAAAGCGGCCUCAGUUCGGAUUGGAGUCUGUAAUUCGACUCCAUGAAGUCGGAAUCGCUAGUAAUCGCGUAUCAGCUACGACGUGGUGAAUGUGUUCCUGAGCCUUGUACACACCGCCCGUCAAGUCAUGGAAGCUGGUAGCACCCGAAGUCCGCUUAGCUAACCAAUACC
This 1490-nucleotide ribosomal RNA is filed under the name metagenome. Its description in RNAcentral is "bacterial SSU rRNA". It matches the Rfam family "Bacterial small subunit ribosomal RNA". The record is from RNAcentral.